This 7471-nucleotide long non-coding RNA is filed under the name Marmota monax (woodchuck). Lineage: Eukaryota; Metazoa; Chordata; Mammalia; Rodentia; Sciuridae. The record is from RNAcentral.
GUGAGGGUCUGAGCAGCGGCAGGGCCGCUGCUGGUAUGUGGGCCUCCCUGUCUGGGGGACGUGCCAGGUGGGGCUGUCGCUGAACAGGCGAGAGGUCCUCUCCCCCUUGCCAAGCUGCUCAGAGCCAGUUCUGUUUACCCAGAAACCAGAGCGGGCGCAGGGCUCAGCCCAAACCGGCCCCCUUCAGGGCCCACAGAGGAAGGAGUGGCGGAGGCCAGGCCGGGCCUCAGGCUCAGAGGGAGGAGGGGGAGUGCUAGUUCCAGCCCAUCUCUGUCCCCAGAUCACUCACUGGCUGGGUGGGUGCUGCACCCUCCGUGUGACCCAUCCGCCCAGGGGAGGACGGAGAAGGACCCACUGCAAACCUACCAGCUGCGCCGAGCCCACCCUGAGAGCCCUUAGGUGAGAAGAGUGGCCAGGGUUAAUCGAAACACCCAAACUCAGCCUGUUCCUUUUUGCUUUGGGAACGUGGUCCAGAGAGCUUUUAAGUGGCACCUGUGGCCCAUAUUAUGCAGAAGGGCACUGAUGGACACUCUGCCCUUCCUCGGCUGCCUCCCCACCAACACGCACACAUUCAUUUGUUCAGUGCGCUCAGGGAAUAUUCAUGAGCUGGAGAGCGUUAAACACGGGAGACAGAAGGAAAGGAUCCCUGUGGCCUUUGAGCCACAGGAGCUUCUGAACUCUGCCUCAAAGAUCCCUCGCGGCUUGUGUCGCGCACACCCACAUCCUGAAACGCUGCCCUGCUUACUUUCACACUUACUUCUGGAAGGGCUUCCUAACCUUGUCUGCCUGGCAAACUUCUAUUUAUGCUUCAAAGCCCCAAAACCUUCACCCACUUCAAACACUUACGUCAUCUAGGCCUUCACUAAUUUUUUUUUUUAAAAGCCACCUCUUGAGGACUCCACCAUCACCUCCACUCUCUCCGAGGACUCUUCCCUACUAAUUUUGGGAUGUCUGCAGUUUGACGAAGUCAUCAAGGUCAUUGUCACCUCCCAUCUUCCUUCCCCUCCUCCCAGGAACUCUGCCUCACUUACCCUCUUUAACUUUCUCUGCAGAAGAGCCACCGUCUGAAACCACCUAGGUUGUGACCUGUCUGUCCUCUACAGAAGUGAGAUUCCCUGCAAGGGCUCUGGUCUUCCUCCUCCCAGGGCAAGGUCCAGUGCCUGUCGCGGUUCUUGGGGCCCUGAAGGCACCUGGGAUGUGCAGAUGGUGGACGCUGGCAGCCGAGGGCAGGAUGUGAACCACAGGCCCUGGAGCUGGAUUGCGGGGUUCUAAUCCCGGCCUUUUCUCAGACCCCAUUGACGGUCAUGGUCAUCAUCAAAUCAUGCAGUUAGCUACGGUGAUCAUCACAGACCUGUCCCCAGCUGCUCCAGCAGUGGCCUGAGCGCCCAGGCUGUGUCUGGGUCCUGCCAUGCCCAGCACGUCUCAGAAUCUGUCUUCCCAUUGCAGAAAUGACACUGACACCCACCUGCAGCUUCUGAAGCCAGAAACCUAAGGUCACUACUGUCACCGGCGCAUCACCCCAUCACCAAGCUCUUUCAGAUGGAUCUUUGUUUCCUACAGAUGCCCUUGUCUCCCCGUCUUCCCCACCUGUCCAGUCCAGGCCUCUCAAGAUCUGCACCUGGUAGCUCCCUGCAGGAGCUCAGUCUAUCAGUCACUCCUGCCCCAGCCCCAGGGCCUUUGCAUGUGCCAGGCCACUCUUUCCUCCCCCACUGAUUUCUCUGAUGCUUUAGUCACAUCAAAUCUCCACACCGUGCCCUGUCACAGGGCUGUUUCCCCUGCUGGCCACUGGUGGUAGUCAGCAUCUUCCACCAGUGACAGAGCCCCACCCAGGACUCUGAAGCAGGAGUGUCAAGGGUGCUAUUAAGCCCUCCAGCCCCAGUGCCUUGAGCACCACGUGGCACAUCAUGGGGGGUUGCUCUGUGUCCCACGAACGAAAUGAAUUCCCAGCUACGCGAGUGAGCGGAGGGUGCUCAAAAAUGGACCUGCAGCCCGGGCAAGGGUGGAGCCUGGGCCAGGUGUGUGCUUUCCCCUCCACACAUGGCUGCCGUGGUGACACCCGUGUGACACUGAGCACAAGUCAGCCCGGGGGCUGUGGACCUGGGGGGCGGCUGCCUGGGGAGCUGGAAUCUGAGGGCACCGUGGUCACUGUGCUCCUGGGCUACGGGGUCACAGCGACCUGGGUCUGAGUCCCAGGGAGAAAGUAGAAGCCGCACCUGCCCAGUUCCCAGGGCCCAGCCCUGCCGAGGACUGGACUGUCCCCCCAGCAGAUGCCUAUUAGCGUCUAAAACUUAUAUGUGAGGACGCAGAGGCACCAGGGGCUAAGCUCCUAUCCAAGAUGACCAGCUGGGAGAGGACGUUCCUUUUCUCCAAGACCCACCUGAAGUCCCUGCCUAUGUCAAGUGGCCAGCCUCCCCGAGGCCCCGCCCAUCCUCCCCCAGCAGGUGCCUGGUCAGCAUCGGCCCACACUCUGCUGUCCGUGGCCGCCAGACCCAUCUCCUUCCUUCCUCCCUUCUUUCCUUUCCGACUGGCAUUGAACCCAGGGGCGCUUGACCACAGAGCCACAUCCUGGCCCUUUUCAUAUUUCUAUUUAGAGAUAGGGUCUGAGUUUCUCAGGGCCUUGCUGAGUUGCUGAGGCUGGCUUUGAACUCACGAUCUUCCUGCCUCAGGAUCUGACUUCAGAGUCUGGCCCACAUUUUGGGGACUCGAUAAUCCCAGCAGCUAGGGAGGCUGAGGCAGGAGGAUCGUGAGUUCACAGCCAGCCUCAGCAAAAGUGAGGCCCUAAGCAACUCAGUGAGACCCUGUCUCUAAAUAAAAUACAAAACAGGGCUGGGGAGGUGGCUCCGUGGUCGAGUGUCCCUGAGUUCAAUCCCUGGCACCAAAUAAAUAAAUAAAAUAGACAUAACAAGCACUUACUAUGUGCCAAGCACCUCUCUAAAAACUUCACAAAUGAUUUUUAUUUGAAUAGUUUGUAACCCACCUCAUUCCAAAAGAACUCUGUGAGGUGAGUAUCAGGGUCUUCAUCUUAGGGGUGAAGAAACCGAGUUUUAGAGAAGCCAAGUAACUUGUCUGGGGUCACACAGCCAGUGAAGGUGGCAGACUUGGGUGGAAAUGAGGCUGAAUACUCCAGAAUUCAAGCUGUCACCUGUCUGCCUCACUGCCUCGGCUCAGUGAGUGAGAAUCACUAUUAUUUACCGAGAUUUUGUAGGGGGGGAAGGGAGGAGUGCCGUCCUAGCCGGGAGGACAGUGGGGAGAACACAGUCAGGAGGGGAGUGUAGGAUUGGGGGGGAGGGACAGUGAGGUCUCAGCACCGUGGAGCUGAGGGCCCAGGGAAGGCCAGAGUGUAGAUGAGACCUGAGGGAUAGAGUGGGAAUUCAACCUCCAUGGAAGGAACCAGCAUGAGCUUCUGUCAAGAAUCCCUACGGGAUGGAUUCCAUGGGAGGUAGGAGUGUGAAAAGUAGGAGUGUCAGAACCUGACAGCUCUGCUGGGUGGCCUUUGGAAAGUUACUUAACCUCUCUGUGCCUCCAUUUCCUGUUCCAUAAAAUGGAGGUAGUAACAGGCCCCCCCCCCCUUCACUGGAUCGUUGUCUGGGAGAAAUAAAAUAAUAAAUGUCAAGCCCCUGAUGGUGUCUGGCAGAAAGCCACCAUUUAACAUAGUUCAUUUCCCUCCCUUCCCCAAGACCUCUCCAGCUGUGCCAGAAUCAAGAGUAAACUACGGUUUCAAAGCGUGUCUGAGACUGAGAAGAAAGAAGAGUUGAUUUCCGUGUCGCCUCUGCGUUAUAAACUGAACUUCCCAGCUCGGUGCCCGGAGAGGGGGGUGCUCAGGAGGCAGGCUGGCAGCAACAAAAAUAAAGAGUUCUGCCCUCGCUGUCCCGGGCCGCGGCCGGGCAGAAGCUGGUGAGGCCUGAACUUGGCGCUGCAGGGCAGGGGACCUGGGAUCCAGGCCCAACCCUUCCUGGGACAUGGACAUGUCACAAGCCAGCACCUGGUUAGGCACUGGGUGCCCUGGGAGGCUAGCUUCCAGCAUGGCGGGGAGCCGGGGUGGGGGGGCCUGCAAUCCCCACCCCCUGCCUCCCACGCCUGUGCCCCCCAGUCCUGCCUCCUGCCUCCUCCAGACCUUGGAUUUUUAAAAAAAUUCUCUUGAUGGGAUUUGUCCCCUCUUGUGAGAUGCCCUCCUUCCCUCAGCCCCUCGACCCAGGAGUAGACAGAGGGCGGGCUUUGGAAUUAGACCGGGUUUGAAUUCUGACAGUCUGGUCACCUUGGGCUCAUGACCCCUCUAGGCCCAUUUCCUCCACUGUAAACUGGGCUUUGUGACUCCUGUCUCCUUCCUUUAUGUGACCACCAAUGGUGCCAAAUAUUUAGCCUUACUGUAUACACCAGGCACUGGGAGAGGAUUUGCGGGCCUAAGUCCCAUUCCUUUUCCUCCAAGACCCACCUGAAGUCCCUGCCUAUGUCAAGUGGCCAGUCUCCCCGAGACCCCGCCCAUCCUCCCACAGCAGGUGCCUGGUCAGCACCCGCCUAGGCUGUGGUGUCCGUGGCCGCCAGGUCAUCUCCUUCCUCCCUCCCUCCCUUCCUUUCAUACUGGCAUUGAACCCAGGGGGGCUUAACCACGGAGCCGGGGCCUUUUAAUAUUUUAAUUUAGAGACAGGGUCUGCCUGAGUUGCUUAGCGCCUUUUUUUAGAACCACACACGCCAAACAAAACAGCCUCUCAGGAAAAACCCUCAGAGCCUCAACUGCCACCACCGGCUUUCCACAAGCCUCUCUCUCCCACACAAGCUUCUCUCCACCUCCCACAAUCCUCCUGCUCUUGAGGCCGAUUGGCUGGGUCACGUGGGCGGAGCCAAAAAAGUCCCCCAAUGAGCAGCUCCGUGGUCUGAAAGGGCAGGGACUUCCAGCUGCCAGCAAACUUCCAGCUGCCGGCUGGUGAUUGGCUCACAGCGCGCCUUGCUGUUGCUGAGGCUGGCUUUGAACUCCCGGUCCUCCUGCCUCAGCCUCCCAUCCACUGGGAUUUCAGGGCGUGGGCUGCCAAGCCCGGUGCCUGGCCUCUUUCCGUUGGAGGAGCUCCCUGGGGACAAACCUGCCUCAGUUACAGCCAGGCUGCCGGCACCCAGCAGGGGAAGGGGUGAGUGAAAGCUGCAGGGCGGGGGAGGGUGCGCCAACAGAGGGCGCGGUGGGCACUGGCACUGCCUGGUCCUCUGCUCUGACUCCCUGAGCUCAGGCCGCCAGCCCCCCUCAGCUCUCUGGAGCCUCCUCUGGGCCCCCGUAGCUCCUGGACCUGGAUCAGGCUUUUCUAACCCAAAACUAGGAUGUUCACCCUGAGGGACGGCGGCCGUGGGGACCAUGCAGUGGCCAAGUGGGGAAGCUACAGGGUGACACAGUGGAGCAGCUCUGGACUUCCUAGGUUGGCCCGGUCGUGGGCUCCCUGGCCUGGCCAUGCAUGCAGGCUGCAGGAAUCAUCUCCCAAGGGCUCAGGAGGUGACGUGCUUUCUCUGCUGCGAUGGGGCGGGGACAUGGUCCUGUGCAGGAUCAGAGGCCGAAGCAGGAGCCACUUACGGAAACGGAAUCGGAAUUGUUCAAUUUUACCUCCCAACCAAGUCUCCCCCAUGUCAUAGAUCGCUUCAAACGGGCUACAGAAUAGAGCCCAAUUCUGUCUCAGCAACCAAGGUCUCCUGAGGCUGCUGUGCCUUCUCCUUCGCUGACUUCCUCCCUCGCCCACCCAGGGCAGAACGGGGGACUUCCUGUCCCCUGGUCUCACCAGCACUUCCCCCUGCGGCCAGCUGUGGUUUCAAAAGGGCCCCACGGUGCGCCAGACCACGCCCCCAAUGAGUGGCAGCGCCAUCUCCCCCUCCCCUGACCUGGGUGGGCCCUGGCUGCUCAGAGCACCAGCACAUGUUGGAAGUGGCGUUGGCUUUCUGGAUAUUGUCCCCAAGUGGCAGCCUCUGCUUCCUGCCUCAGGGGAGGUACCUGCUCUAGGUGACAGCCCCCGCGGAGCUCCCAAGUGCCCAGCGUGGUGCAAAGUCCUGGGAGGGAGCCAUCAUCGACCCCCAAGCUGCUGAGCCUUCAGAACAUCAGGCCACAACCACAGAACCCCCUGAGCACCCCCCAGCGGAUCCCAGUCAGCUGAAGGUGGCAGAGAACAGGUACCAGUCUGCACCCACCCACCCACUCCACCAUGGCACCCACCACUCCUGUCAGGGCCUCUCACACCUCUGCCCUCUCCUAAAAAUGGUUUGCAACAGUCACGAUGGCUUUGUAUUGAGAUCCCUUGUUCCUUUUAAGACAGGCUUAAACUUAUUCCAAAACAGAGAUUUUCCUUCUUUCUCCGCCGACCCCUGCCCCUCCUCCCAUUUGGGAUUGAACUUGGCCUCGCACACCGAGCUGCAUUCCCCAGCUCCCUAAACAGAAAAUUCCUAUCACUUCUCAAAAUGGAAACCAGUGUCACUUGCCAUUAAUAGAAAGUAACAAAAGAAAUCAGAUGAAACAAUGUCAUUAAAUUCCAGCCAGACAGGGCCACCUUCCAAAGUGUCUGAGCCCAGGGCUCACCGUUUCCUCUUGGAAAGCUAAGGAACAGUGCUGCAGGGACACUGGUGACACAGUCAACCAGGCCCUGAGUUCCAGGACCCGGGGUGACACACAUCAGCUUUGGGAUCCCCGGGUCUGGAACUGAGCCAGGUGGCCUUGGAUGCAGCAGAGCUGGGCAGCCUGUGACCCCUGCUGGACUGACUUUGGCGCUCACUGGUCCCCGGAUCAAGGUUCCCCCGGAUCAAGGUUCCCCGGAUCUGGCCGGCUCUCAGGAUUUAGGAAGGCCCCCAACUUUCCAAUACUGUUUUUCAAAAACUAGGUGUGUGUGUGUGUGUGUGUGUGUAAAAUACUCUUCUUCCCAAAGUGGCGAACACCGUUCCUGCUUCUGGCACUGAACUUGGACUUGCCACCCUACCCGUCCCCAGCUCUCGCAGCACCUCCGGGGGCUGUUUCUGUCGUUAUUUCCGUAUUUCCUCUGGGAGCACUCUCAAUGUGGCCUUUGUGUGUCCACCUUCUGAGGCUUUAUUUGCCCAAGAAUAUUUUUUUAAUGACCUCAUGUUUAAGUGACAGUUUGGCUGCCUUGGAGAUGCUGGAUUGAAAGGUUCUUUUCUUUCAGUCCUUUAUGACAUUACCUCCCCGGCUUCCUUUGUGGGGUGUUGUUAGGGAGAACUCUGUCCGUCUGAGCCUUGCUGCUGGGUCCGUGAUCUGCUGUUUCUGCUCCUCCUCCUUUUCCUUCACGUUUCUAACUUUGCCAUUGUGUCUCUGGGUCUUUCUUCCUCUGUUGGCUCUUGCAUGGGUCCUUUCAAUCUACCUUCAUUCACAUCCCUGUCAUUUUGGAAUAUUUAAUCUCCAUUAUUUCUGCAGAGCGCCAGCCAGGACAAGCGGCUUCUUCACCUUUAGGUUCCCAGGGAGAAGUGGACAGUGAGGAGGAGACACUCUCGUGAGAUUCAC